This 485-nucleotide ribosomal RNA is filed under the name uncultured bacterium. Its description in RNAcentral is "SSU rRNA". It matches the Rfam family "Bacterial small subunit ribosomal RNA", at positions 26 to 521 of the family's 1533-position model. The record is from RNAcentral.
AGGACGAACGCUGGCGGCGUGCUUAACACAUGCAAGUCGAACGAAGCUCCCGGGCUUGCCUGGGAUGACUGAGUGGCGAACGGGUGAGUAACACGUGGGCAACCUGCCCCAGACUCUGGGAUAACACCGAGAAAUCGGUGCUAAUACCGGAUACGACAACUUCGGACAUCCGAUGGUUGUGGAAAGUUUUUCGGUCUGGGAUGGGCCCGCGGCCUAUCAGCUAGUUGGUGGGGUAAUGGCCUACCAAGGCGACGACGGGUAGCCGGCCUGAGAGGGCGACCGGCCACACUGGAACUGAGACACGGUCCAGACUCCUACGGGAGGCAGCAGUGGGGGAAUAUUGCACAAUGGGCGAAAGCCUGAUGCAGCGACGCCGCGUGAGGGACGAAGGCCUUCGGGUUGUAAACCUCUUUCAGCAGGGACGAAGCGAAAGUGACUGUACCUGCAGAAGAAGCACCGGCUAACUACGUGCCAGCAGCCGACGU